AGUUUGACUGGGGCGGUCUCCUCCUAAAGAGUAACGGAGGAGCACGAAGGUUGGCUAAUCCUGGUCGGACAUCAGGAGGUUAGUGCAAUGGCAUAAGCCAGCUUGACUGCGAGCGUGACGGCGCGAGCAGGUGCGAAAGCAGGUCAUAGUGAUCCGGUGGUUCUGAAUGGAAGGGCCAUCGCUCAACGGAUAAAAGGUACUCCGGGGAUAACAGGCUGAUACCGCCCAAGAGUUCAUAUCGACGGCGGUGUUUGGCACCUCGAUGUCGGCUCAUCACAUCCUGGGGCUGAAGUAGGUCCCAAGGGUAUGGCUGUUCGCCAUUUAAAGUGGUACGCGAGCUGGGUUUAGAACGUCGUGAGACAGUUCGGUCCCUAUCUGCCGUGGGCGCUGGAGAACUGA
RNAcentral lists this ribosomal RNA (399 nucleotides) under Escherichia coli. RNAcentral describes it as "partial 23S ribosomal RNA". It matches the Rfam family "Bacterial large subunit ribosomal RNA", at positions 2267 to 2665 of the family's 2925-position model. The record is from RNAcentral. Lineage: Bacteria; Pseudomonadati; Pseudomonadota; Gammaproteobacteria; Enterobacterales; Enterobacteriaceae.